UAGUCCACGCCGUAAACGAUGAUCACUAGACGUCAGCUCUGUUUUGCAGGGUUGGUGUCGCAGCUAACGCGUUAAGUGAUCCGCCUGGGGACUACGAUCGCAAGAUUAAAACUCAAAGGAAUUGACGGGGGCCCGCACAAGCGGUGGAACAUGUGGUUUAAUUCGACACUACGCGAGGAACCUUACCUAGGCUUGACAUGUACUUGAUCGCUGUAGAAACACAGUUUUUUGGGCUUCGGUUCAAACAGGUACACAGGUGCUGCAUGGUUGUCGUCAGCUCGUGUCGUGAGAUGUUGGGUUAAGUCCUCUAACGAGCGCAACUCCUACUGUUAGUUGCUAUUUGUUUUUACAAAGCACUCUAAUGGGACUGCCUGGGAAACCAGGAGGAAGGUGGGAAUGACGUCAAAUCAUCAUGGUCCUUAUGCCUAGGGCUACACACGUGUUACAAUGGUCGGUACAAAGGGCUGCAAGCUCGUAAGGGCAAGCUAAUCCCAAAAAGCCGAUCUAAGUUCGGAUUGGGGU
RNAcentral lists this ribosomal RNA (522 nucleotides) under uncultured bacterium. RNAcentral describes it as "bacterial SSU rRNA". It matches the Rfam family "Bacterial small subunit ribosomal RNA", at positions 791 to 1304 of the family's 1533-position model. The record is from RNAcentral.